This 133-nucleotide transfer RNA is filed under the name Anopheles christyi. RNAcentral's name for it is "tRNA tRNA-Tyr". It matches the Rfam family "tRNA". Rfam says of the family: Transfer RNA (tRNA) molecules are approximately 80 nucleotides in length. Their secondary structure includes four short double-helical elements and three loops (D, anti-codon, and T loops). Further hydrogen bonds mediate the characteristic L-shaped molecular structure. tRNAs have two regions of fundamental functional importance: the anti-codon, which is responsible for specific mRNA codon recognition, and the 3' end, to which the tRNAs corresponding amino acid is attached (by aminoacyl-tRNA synthetases). tRNAs cope with the degeneracy of the genetic code in two manners: having more than one tRNA (with a specific anti-codon) for a particular amino acid; and 'wobble' base-pairing, i.e. permitting non-standard base-pairing at the 3rd anti-codon position. The record is from RNAcentral. Lineage: Eukaryota; Metazoa; Arthropoda; Insecta; Diptera; Culicidae.
CCUUCGAUAGCUCAGUUGGUAGAGCGGUGGACUGUAGAAAGUUUGGAGGGUUUGCGAUCAAGUUUCAAAUGAUCAAAACCUACCGAUCGAAGUGGAAAUCCAUAGGUCACUGGUUCAAAUCCGGUUCGAAGGA